RNAcentral lists this transfer RNA (71 nucleotides) under Bos taurus (domestic cattle). It matches the Rfam family "tRNA". Rfam says of the family: Transfer RNA (tRNA) molecules are approximately 80 nucleotides in length. Their secondary structure includes four short double-helical elements and three loops (D, anti-codon, and T loops). RNAcentral also lists the same sequence under 1 other name. The record is from Rfam by way of RNAcentral. Lineage: Eukaryota; Metazoa; Chordata; Mammalia; Artiodactyla; Bovidae.
UCCCUGAUAGCUCAGUUGGUAAAGAAUCUGCUUGCAAAGCAGGAUACCCGGUUCAAUUCCUGGGUUGGGAA